AUGCAAGUCGAGCGGGGAGAGCCUUCGGGCUCUUCCAGCGGCGGACGGGUGAGUAACGCGUGACAACCUUUCCUUCACAGGGGAAUAACGCAGCGAAAGCUGUGCUAAUACCGCAUGAGACCACAAGAUCGCAUGGUCAAGGGGUCAAAGGAGCAAUUCGGUGAAGGGUGGGCUCGCGUCUGAUUAGCUAGUUGGCGGGGUAACGGCCCACCAAGGUAACGAUCAGUAGCCGACCUGAGAGGGUGAUCGGCUACACUGGGACUGAGACACGGCCCAGACUCCUACGGGAGGCAGCAGUGGGGAAUAUUGGGCAAUGGGCGAAAGCCUGACCCAGCAACGCCGCGUGAGGGAAGAAGGUUUUCGGAUCGUAAACCUCUGUCCUUGGUGAAGAGUAAAAGACGGUAGCCAAGGAGGAAGCCCCGGCUAACUACGUGCCAGCAGCCGCGGUAAUACGGAGGAUGCAAGCGUUAUCCGGAUUCAUUGGGUUUAAAGGGUGCGCAGGUGGGAAAAUAAGUCAGUGGUGAAAUACUGCCGCUUAACGGUAGAAUUGCCAUUGAUACUGUUUUUCUUGAGUAUGGUUGAGGUAGGUGGAAUGUGUUGUGUAGCGGUGAAAUGCAUAGAUAUGACACAGAACGCCGAUUGCGAAGGCAGCUUACUAAGCCAUUACUGACGCUGAGGCACGAAAGCGUGGGGAUCAAACAGGAUUAGAUACCCUGGUAGUCCACGCCGUAAACGAUGAUCACUAGCUGUUGGCGAUACACCGAUCAGCGGCAAAGCAAAAGCAUUAAGUGAUCCACCUGGGGAGUACGGCCGCAAGGCUGAAACUCAAAGGAAUUGACGGGGGCCCGCACAAGCGGAGGAACAUGUGGUUUAAUUCGAUGAUACGCGAGGAACCUUACCUGGGCUUAAAUGUAGAGUGCAUUGAGAGGAAACUUUCAUUUUCUUCGGAACUCUUUACAAGGUGCUGCAUGGUUGUCGUCAGCUCGUGCCGUGAGGUGUCGGGUUAAGUCCCAUAACGAGCGCAACCCUUAUCGUUAGUUGCCAGCGGGUAAAGCCGGGAACUCUAGCGAAACUGCCGGUGUAAACCGAGAGGAAGGUGGGGAUGACGUCAAAUCAGCACGGCCCUUAUGUCCAGGGCUACACACGUGUUACAAUGGCCGGUACAGAGGGCAGCUACCUGAUGACAGGAUGCGAAUCUCGAAAGCCGGUCUCAGUUCGGAUCGGAGUCUGCAACCCGACUCCGUGAAGCUGGAUUCGCUAGUAAUCGCGCAUCAGCCAUGGCGCGGUGAAUACGUUCCCGGGCCUUGUACACACCGCCCGUCAAGCCAUGGAAGUUGGGGGUACCUGAAGUCCGUAACCGUAAGGAGCGGCCUAGGUAAAACGCAGUGACUUGGGGUAAGU
RNAcentral lists this ribosomal RNA (1401 nucleotides) under uncultured bacterium. Its description in RNAcentral is "partial 16S ribosomal RNA". It matches the Rfam family "Bacterial small subunit ribosomal RNA". The record is from RNAcentral.